UGCCAGCAGCCGCGGUAAUACAGAGGUCCCAAGCGUUGUUUCGGAUUCACUGGGCGUAAAGGGUGCGUAGGCGGCCGGGUAAGUCUGAUGUGAAAUCCCGCAGCUCAACUGCGGAACGGCAUUGGAUACUAUCCGGCUCGAGGAGUGGAGGGGAGACUGGAAUACUUGGUGUAGCAGUGAAAUGCGUAGAUAUCAAGUGGAACACCAGUGGCGAAGGCGAGUCUCUGGACACCUCCUGACGCUGAGGCACGAAAGCCAGGGGAGCAAACGGGAUUAGAUACCCCGGUAGUCCUGGCCCUAAACGGUGCGCGUUUGCUGUGAGCGGAAUCGACCCCGCUCGUGGCGAAGCUAACGCGUUAAACGCGCCGCCUGGGAAGUACGGCCGCAAGGUUAAAACUCAAAGGAAUUGACGGGGGCCCGCACAAGA
RNAcentral lists this ribosomal RNA (427 nucleotides) under uncultured bacterium. Its description in RNAcentral is "bacterial SSU rRNA". It matches the Rfam family "Bacterial small subunit ribosomal RNA", at positions 506 to 930 of the family's 1533-position model. The record is from RNAcentral.